AUACGGAGGGUGCGAGCGUUAAUCGGAAUUACUGGGCGUAAAGGGUGCGUAGGCGGCUUGAUAAGUCGGAUGUGAAAGCCCCGGGCUUAACCUGGGAAUUGCAUUCGAUACUGUCAGGCUAGAGUAUGUCAGAGGUUGGCGGAAUUCCUGGUGUAGCGGUGAAAUGCGUAGAUAUCAGGAGGAACACCAGUGGCGAAGGCGGCUAACUGGGGCAAUACUGACGCUGAGGUACGAAAGCGUGGGUAGCAAACGGGAUUAGAAACCCUAGUAGUCC
Molecule: ribosomal RNA, 274 nt
Filed under: uncultured bacterium
Lineage: Bacteria
Description: partial 16S ribosomal RNA
Rfam family: Bacterial small subunit ribosomal RNA
Source: RNAcentral